ACAUCAUAGCUGGGGAACAGGGAUUCACAAGACCCAGGCUGUUCCCUACAUAUUUUUCCUCCUCAGACAUCAGUUCAUCAGUCAAUCAAGUCAUGUGAGAGUGGAGGCCAUGUAUUCCGUAUUCUUGGGCACUCUCCUCCAAGGAGGAAAAGGCCAGGAGGUCCUGUUAGAGGAUGCACUCUGAGAGGCCGGGCUCCCUAAGGUGUGAGAGUUCUAACCAGCAGGUGUAGACUUUUCAGGAGUGAGGAAUGAGGCAGGCAUUCCAAACCUGGAGCUUCAUCACCUUUUGUUUCAUCUCAAGACAAUUCUGAGGGGCUGUUUUGGAACGUGUCUGGAAGGUGAACGUUGAAGAAGAGUGUGGGCUUUGAUGUGACUCAGAUAAGAUCUUUCAUGGGGAGGCAGGAAUUUAAUGCCCAGAAUCUGGGCUGGUGUCUUUGAGGUCAGUGGGUUGCCUUUUUGUAUCCAAGUCCAUUGUUACUAGGUUGGAGGCUGGAGAUUCUAAAUGGCUUCCAGACCGCCUCUCUGAUUCUCUUUUGGAGAUGGGGUCUGAAAAAGACAAUGUCAGUAUUUUUGGGAAAUUCUGGAAAGUCUGUUUGGAAACCUGUGAAGACCUCUUGCCUAGUGCCUAAAUGCUCAAUGUGCAGCUCUAGCCACGUAGAUGUUUGGUAGGUAUAGAGCUGGGUUUGCAUUUAUAUCAGCAAAACCUAUGGCAGAGUUGAAGAAGUAAUCAGGACAAAGUGUCUUGGUCGCAGGCCAGAGAACAUCUUAAAAGCAAACUUCUAGCCUGCUGACUCUUGGCAAUGAGUGUUGGGUCCUGGCCAAAGUGCCUUGAAUGCAGCAUGAAGCCAAUCCAUAAAUCCAACUUCUAAUGGAGAAAUGUUAAUAUUUUUUCAGUUUGAAUCAAUCAGGGUGAAAUUACCAUGCUAUUGGUUUGUUUACUUUUUAUUAUUUCAUAUAAAAUCUAAGACAAAAUACAUUAAACGCUUAUUGACAUAUGUAUUUAUUCUUCACCUGGCUCAUAACAUUUGCCUAAUUUUAAACUUUCUUCUAUUAUGUAGGUUUCAACUUAUUUUAUUGUAAGAUAUUGUUAAAUCUAAUACAGGCAUUGUCACCUUUACAUGUAAUUUUAUUUUAUUUCAUAUAUUUCCUAUUCGCUUUCUACAUUUAAAUUAUGGACUGUUUCAUCAUAUAAAAAGCUUCAUUUCUAUUUUAAAAAUA
Molecule: long non-coding RNA, 1218 nt
Filed under: Pongo abelii (Sumatran orangutan)
Lineage: Eukaryota; Metazoa; Chordata; Mammalia; Primates; Hominidae
Description: lincRNA
Source: RNAcentral